RNAcentral lists this long non-coding RNA (676 nucleotides) under Dasypus novemcinctus (nine-banded armadillo). Its description in RNAcentral is "lncRNA (ENSDNOG00000050744.1)". The record is from RNAcentral. Lineage: Eukaryota; Metazoa; Chordata; Mammalia; Cingulata; Dasypodidae.
CCUCUUAGGUUCUUAGCCCACCUUCCAAAAGCGCGACAGCCGUUGGGUCAUAAGUCUACAGGACAGGGUGUUCACGUGGCCUAUUUUCACGACCCAGAGCUCCCCUCAUCAGAAGGUUUGUUUUUUUUUUUCUUCUGCAGGGAGAGAUUAUGAGCUCCCCCCCCACAGACACACUCACACUGGGAAAGGAAGUGUCUACGUGGCCUGCGGAAACGGGAUGGGCGGAAAUGAGCUAAGGCUCCCGCGGGUGGCCAAGCGGGAGGUCAAGUCUGGGGCCACACCCCCGAACCUCUUGCGCAACUAUGUAUGCAAAAAAAAAAAAAAAAAGCGGGUUGGGAUUUUUGAUGUGCGUGCGAAUGAGGAUUGUGGGUGUGCGCGGACCGACGCGCGUGGCUUUGGCGGCCGGGUGUGCGCGCGCGCAUGCGCUCAUGGCGUUAGCGGUGGAGGUGGAGGUGCGCGCGCCCGUGGCAUUGGGGUCGAUUUUCUCAUCCCAGAAGAAUGGACACUGUCUUUAGAGUUCUUUGGAACAGUAACUGAUUUUUUGACAUAUUAAGAGGAUAUCCUAUGAUUUCCUGAACAACGUCAAAAGUAAGUCAGGCACUGUCUCCACUCAUUCCCUAGCUAGGCAGAACCCCCAACCCCAGCCACCACAAUGUUAUCAAUGUUUUUAGCAGUA